This 23-nucleotide non-coding RNA is filed under the name Arabidopsis thaliana (thale cress). Lineage: Eukaryota; Viridiplantae; Streptophyta; Magnoliopsida; Brassicales; Brassicaceae. The record is from RNAcentral.
AUCAUAAUGGCUUUGAAUGGAGG